AGGCAUUACUAUUUCUGCCUUGUUCCUUUGGAUGGCUUCGUCUGGAGGAAGCCAGGGGUCUUGCCAUGAAGGACAUUCAAGCAGUUCUGAGGAGAGGCCCAAGUGAAGAGGAACCAGUUGCCAGCACCACCCUGUCAGCUAUGUUAGGCCCCUGCCUAUAUAAACAAUUUGAUUAAAAACAUAUUUAAAAAUUCAUCAGUACAUGUGAGAUAUGAUGAUUUAUCAUUGAAGAUUUAGGAUGAUGAGCAGAGAAAGGCAAUCUGUUUUGUCUAUUGUCCAAUCAGUGCAUGUGAAGAUUCGUUACAGUAUCCAGUUAACACUGAAUCACUAAGGCUUUAUCCAGGAAUAGUACUCAAAGUGCUCAGAUGUUCCUUUAAAUUCAUUUACCUGGGUAACUGCUGAAAGAGAGGCGACUACUGCUGGUGUCUUUAUCUAUGAUGUUGAAGUCCCAGUGUUUAUAUAUCCUGAGCAUGGCUGCAUACGUGUACCAGCUUGAGUGAGCAAAAAGGAUGUUCUCAAAUCCAGGAAGAACCUACAGCCAGAAUCAUAGUGGAUUACACAGAUGUACAUAGCUAACUGACUGCAAUUGUCUUAAGUGUAAGAGGCAUACAGGGAUUGUGCCAUUUCAGGGUUAUGAUUCUUCUUUCACAGCUUCUUCUGUGCUGUAUCUAGAACAAAAGCAUACGUGUGAUAGUGACCUAACUGUGAUACGAGACCUAAACAUGUCAAGGAGAGACUAUCCAAAUGCAUUUUGUGUAAAACCACAAUGUUUCACAAAGUCAAUAAAGAAGGACCAGGAAACAAAGUUUAAUAAUGAAGAUAAGUGGGCACUUCCUUCAGACUUGGUUCUGGAAUUUAUCUUGUGUACAUUAUGCAAACAAGUUGAUAAAGGGAGAGCACAAGAAAAUGUUCAAGUUGGGACUGGGCACGAUGGCUCACACCUGUAAUCCCAGCGCUUCGGGAGGCCAGGGCAGGCGAUGCACUUGAGGCCAGGAGUUUGAGACCAACCUGGGCAACAUGGUGAACCUCAUCUCUACAAAAAAUACAAAAAUCAACCAGGCAUGGUGGUGCAUGCCUGUAUCCCAGUUACUCGGGAGGCUGAGGCAUGAGAAUCACUUGAACCUGGGAGGCGGAGGUUGCACGGAGCCAAGAUCGCGCCUUUGCACUCCAGCUUGGGCAACAGAGCAAGACUCUGUCUCAAAAAAACAACAAAAAAAAAUUACUUCAAAGCACAUGGAUUAUCAUCUUCAAUCCUGCCUGCCUUAUCAAGACAUGAUAACUUUUUAGAGAAAAACAACUUCAGUGGCCACUCAAUUAUACAGCACUUACUGCAUGUCAGGCACAGUGUUUCUCACAACAGCCCCAUGAGAUGGAGACACUUAUAAUACCCAUCUUCCAGUUGAGGAAACCAAAGUACAUAUAGAGAAAAUAACUGACUAAAGGUCACAUGGCAAGUGUUGGAGUCAGGAUUCAAACACAGGCAUUAGGGUUCCAAAGGAUUUCCUCUUGCUGGAAUUCUGUGUUACCUCUCUAAUACUAUACUUCCAAGAAUGAAGGACUUCCGUGUAAAGAAUGAACAUACUGAGCAACUGUGAGGCCUUAUGUCGAAUGAAUUUGGAAAUAAGAAUGUCCUCAGAGACCAGGUGCAGUGGCGGUCGCCUGAACCCCAGGGCUUUGGGAAAUGAACCUGUGGGAGGAUCACUUGCGAGCAAGAGUUUGAGAUCAAUCUGGGUAACAUAGUGAGACUCUAUCUCUACAAAUAAUUUUUUUUUUAAUUAGCCAAGUGUGGUGGUGUGCACCUGUAGUCCCAUCUACUCUGAGGCUGCAAUGAGCUAUGAUCGUACCACUGUACUCCAGCCUGGGUGACAGAGCAAGGCCCUAUCUCCAAAUAAAUGAAUAAAUAAAUAAAUAAGAAUGUCUGCAGAGUUAAAGGAGCAACUGAAAUUGACCCCAGUCAUAGGUCUGCCAAAUCAGCUUAUGGAGACUGAAUGUUCCAGGAUAUUAAACUUUUUGACAACCAGAUAAAGGUAUUAACUGUUAUUCUCAAGUGGACACUGGUAAGCCAUGGCAAUGUGGAAAAGGCAGUGUCCCAAAAUCAGGGACCAGCAAUGCUAGGCAAGCACCAUGCAGUGGAGGGGCACUCUCUCGGCUGACUCAAGUGUAUGAUGCCUACCAGGAGACAGACAAAUCAGGCCUCCAGCCUGACAAUCUGUGAUGUUAUCUACCCCCAUGUGGUUUGAUUACAGUGAGAAAGUGCCUAGAGCAGACCUCACAAAUAUCCAGUCUGCCUGACAGUUAUAUUUCUAACUAAAAAUUAAUGCUAAGUCUGAUGAAUAGACUUGGGUGUAUAUCAGGGUGAAUCAGCUUUCUUAGCUGUGAUCAGAUAUGGAGCAGUAGAAAGACUGAAUUUCUGGAGUCUAGCCCUGCAAGGCCGAGGGCCAGAUUCUGAACCAGUUUUACCAAUAUACAUACCAUAUUAUGAGUCUCUCAGCAGCCAACCCUAAAAGAAUGUCUGCAGAGUUAAAGGAUCAACUGAAACUGACUCCAAUCAUAGGUCUGCCAAAUCACCUUAUGGAGACUGAAUGACUUCCAAGAUGUUAAACUUUUUCAGAACCAGAUAAAGGUAUGAUUUAUUUCUCUAGUGACCACCUGACUUCUCCAUACAUACCACUUAGAAAAAAUUAUAUAAGGACCUUCUAAAAUCAAUUAUGGGGCUUUUGGUCUGGAAAGAUAAACACAACACCAUAUGUCUGAAAUCAUAGCUUGAAAGAUUUGGCUAGAAUGACUGUGCAAUUAUUUGUCAACUUCUGGAAUAAUAAAACUAUGAAGUAACCUUUACAAAUUGAAGAAUAUGCAAGAAUUAACUAAAAGUGUCCGGGCAUGGUAGCUCACACCUGUAAUCCCAGCACUUUGGGAGGCUGAGGCGGGCAGAUCACCUGAGGCCAGGAGUUCGAGACUAGUCUGUCCAACCUGUUGAAAUCCCAUCUCUACAAAAAAUAUAAAAAUUAGCCGGGCGUGGUGGUGUGUGCCUGUAAUCCCAGCUACUCAGGAGGCUGAGUCAGGAGAAUUGCUUGAACCAAAGAGGUGGAGGUUGCAGUGAGCCGAGAUCACGCCACUGUACCCAGCCUGGGGGG
This is a long non-coding RNA of Pan troglodytes (chimpanzee), 3134 nucleotides long. RefSeq lists it as uncharacterized. The transcript has 5 exons. The record is from RefSeq and is a predicted model, not a curated record. NCBI's taxonomy places the organism in Eukaryota, Metazoa, Chordata, Mammalia, Primates, Hominidae.